This 803-nucleotide long non-coding RNA is filed under the name Mus musculus (house mouse). Its description in RNAcentral is "RIKEN cDNA 1700008K24 gene, transcript variant 4 (1700008K24Rik)". Lineage: Eukaryota; Metazoa; Chordata; Mammalia; Rodentia; Muridae. The record is from RNAcentral.
CAGAUGAGAGCAGUUGGCAGUUAUUUUGCAGGAGGCUUCUCAGGGAUGAAGGCAAGCUGGCCCCUAGCUGAUCAGCUGGUUGGUGAGGACUCUUCACGAAGUAAGGGACCAUUGUGAAGAUGGAAGAAUGCCCACAAAAUCCAGCUUGAAACCUGCUGGCUCUGAGGGUCCUGCUGGCUCAGCAGUGCUGGUAACCAAGAAGUAUCGCAGGCCCAGGAUAACUCAGCACUCAUGAUCAGCUGUCAAGCUAUAACGGAGUGUUGAGGCAGUCCCUGAAACCACAGCGCCAUUUUGUAGGAACUAAGAAGCCAACCUCAAGGAAUCACUCGCCCCAAGAAGACUUUGUUCUGAUCUGAUGUGUUUCUAGCCUGGUGGAGCCUCAGCUAUCCAAAGGAAGAGCUGUUAAGAUGAUUGGAAUUUUGGUUUUUCCGAUUCACUCUUUUUUCUCUCCAGCCAUCUGCCUUAGACAGCAGGAGAAAAGGAAACUUAGCCUCAGAGGUGGGGUCCUUCGGAAGGACUGACAGUGGGCUAGCUCUCCUGCUGCUGGGAGCCUGAGUGCCUUUGGCUCCUUGUCCAGACCUCAGCUUUACCACGGAGGUUACCUGCUUACCAUCAACAUCGAAACUUGCCUCUUCCCCUGGGUGUAUUCUCCCUCUUUUGUGUACAGUUUGAUUCCUCCAAACUGCUCUCCCUGUGAAGAAAGCCGAUGGAAUUCAGGGAGCCUGGCCAGCCACCCAGGCCUUUAUAAAGGUCCUCGUACCACAGGAUGUAUGGGAGACCCAAUAAAGACUUUUGCAAAAUGC